UCUUUCUUUCAGCACCUUUAUACUUGUGAUACUAAUGUUGACCCAUCUCGUAUUAUUUCCAUUGUGAGACCUCUCGUCACUGAUGAUAUGAAUGCGGAGCUAUGUAAACCGUUUUCUGAGGAGGAGAUUAGUGAUGCUCUCUUCCAGAUAGGUCCGUUAAAAGCCCCAGGUCCGGAUGGUUUUCCUGCAAGAUUUUUUCAGAGUAUUUGGGGUUUAAUAAAGGACAUUGUAAGGGCGGUUCAGCAGUUCUUUAUCUCAGGUGUUAUGCCCGAAGGUGUAAAUGAUACUACCAUUGUCCUUAUUCCCAAAGUGAAGAAUCCUCAGUCCAUCAAGGAGUUUGGACCGAUCAUCUUGUGUAAUGUCAUUUAUAAAAUUAUCUCCAAGUGCCUGGUAAAUAGACUAAGACCUCUUUUGGAGGGUAUGAUCUCUCCCACUCAGAGUGCCUUUAUUCCUGGAAGAUUAAUUUCUGAUAACGCGCUUAUUGCCUUCGAAUGUAUUCAUUCGUUGAGUACAUUAAAAGAUAAGCGUGGAGAUUUUUGUGCAUAUAAGUUGGAUCUAGCAAAAGCGUAUGAUCGUGUAGAUUGGCAAUUUUUAAAGAGUAUGCUGGGGGCUUUUGGGUUUGCUCCAUCUUGGAUUAACUGGAUCAUGACGUGUGUUACAUCAGUGAAAUUCUCGGUCCGGUUUAAUGGACAACUGUUGGAACCUUUUUAUCCUUCGUGUGGGCUCAGGCAAGGGGAUCCCUUAUUGUCGUAUUUGUUCCUAUUUGUUGCUGAGGCACUUUCCUUGCUGUUAAAGAAUGCUUGUGACAAAGCUGCUCUGAAGGAAUUUCACUUGAACAGACAUGGGCCAGGUAUCUCUCAUCUUUUAUUUGCGGAUGAUAGUCUCUUGUCUUUCAAAGGGUCCAUAGAUCAAGCCUUAGUCAUUAAAAAUAUUUUGUCGUGCUAUGAGGUGGGAACGGGUCAGCUUCUGAGCCCCGAUAAAUGUUUCAUCAAGUUUGGCAAAAAGUGUAGUAUGGAGGAUCAGGUGGCCACUAUGGUUAUUCUUAAUAUUACUGCAGAAGGUUUUGAAGAUAAGUACCUUGGCUUACUGGUACCUGAGGGUAGAAUGAAGGUGGGCAAGUUCCAAUCAACAAAAGAUAAGGCAUUAAAAGAAAAAUAUGUCUCAAGUGGUAUAAAAGAAAAUCAAAUCAAGGCAGUGUUGCAAGCGCUACCAGUGUACGCCAUGGGUUAUCUUUAA
This 1236-nucleotide ribosomal RNA is filed under the name Triticum aestivum (bread wheat). RNAcentral's name for it is "partial small subunit ribosomal RNA". Lineage: Eukaryota; Viridiplantae; Streptophyta; Magnoliopsida; Poales; Poaceae. The record is from RNAcentral.